AUUAACACAGGGUCUGGAACCCUUACGCUGCCGUGGACUUAUGCACUAACAUAUUCUGCUUUCCUUGUCUCUGUGUAAAUUCACUGCAGGGAACACUCAAUGAGCACACCAGUCAUUAUGGAGGUCAGAAAGUAUUCGAAAGUUUUAAUGCAUGUACAUCGUAUAAAUAAAACACAGUUUUCUUAGAGGUGUAUACAACAAAAGGCAAAAUCAACCAAUCAUAGAAG
Pelobates cultripes (western spadefoot toad) is the source of this 227-nucleotide non-coding RNA. The record is from the annotation of a GenBank genome assembly. NCBI's taxonomy places the organism in Eukaryota, Metazoa, Chordata, Amphibia, Anura, Pelobatidae.